This is a long non-coding RNA of Trachemys scripta elegans, 965 nucleotides long. RefSeq lists it as uncharacterized. Lineage: Eukaryota; Metazoa; Chordata; Testudines; Emydidae. The transcript has 3 exons. The record is from RefSeq and is a predicted model, not a curated record.
CACUCUGGUGGAUCAAAGCAAGUUCAAUAUAAUGCGGUUUCACCUAUAACACGGAACCUGAACAAUGAGCACAUAGAAUCUUUCUUUGGGAAUACACCUUCUGUUCAAGUAUCUCAAAGUGUGUUACAAGUGUCAUCACAUCACCGGGAAGUAGUUCCCUCUAGCUCUCAAAUGGGACUUUAGCCGUAGUUGGAGCCAGCUACGCACAGCAUUAGCGAAGACGUGCUGCCGGACGGCCUGGUGCACUGCUUGCUGACUGACACUGGAGCAGGUGCGGAACAGAGACCAUCAGCAUACGGUGACCCUUUUGCCCAGAGCCCUCAUAAGACCCCCAGAAGCAAUGAAUGGGGGGAAGUGAGGGACCAGGCACAACCUUGUGGGACUCCCAACUGCAGGCCAGGACUGGCUCGGACACUGAGGGGCUGCCCUGCCAGGGCCCAUGGGAAGUCACCAACCCACAGCUGCCAUAAGGCCACUGGCCAGAGGCUCUGACCGUUCCCUGCAAAGCAUCAGCAAGACUAAUUGUAAAGCGAAGAGAAGUUCUGCUCCUCCUCUCCCCAGAUGCCUGGACUUUGGCCUCGGCUUUACUGUAACUGCCAACAAAGCACCAUUUCAACAGAACUGGUAAAAGUCCAUUGGGAGCAAUCAACAGGCCUAAGAAGAAUCCGGUUAUAAAACCUGAGUCGAAAGGACAGGAAGGUGUCAGGAUGCGCAGGGACUUUACCCAGCUUUGCAGAGCAUCAAGGAACAGCCACAAAAUCAAACUGCUCUUUGUCUGCCUGCAACGGGUGGCAAGAGCCCCUUUCCUGGCAUCUCCCCAAACAAAGCGAGUUCUGUUCCUAAUGUAGCCUGGGGGAAGCUGGGACAGUGCCCUUUGCAUUCAGCUUUGAAACAUGUUGUCUUUGUUCCCUUGAGCUGCAGGGACAAAAAAUAUAUAUGUCUGUAAAUGAAGACAGCCCCCUCCU